CCCGCCGUAGCUCAGCGGCAGAGCGCCCGGCUGUAGUGAGGGGCGUAGACACCGGGUGGCCGGGGGUUCAAGUCCCCCCGGCGGGA
Molecule: transfer RNA, 86 nt
Filed under: Desulfurococcus mucosus DSM 2162
Lineage: Archaea; Thermoproteati; Thermoproteota; Thermoprotei; Desulfurococcales; Desulfurococcaceae
Rfam family: tRNA
About the family: Transfer RNA (tRNA) molecules are approximately 80 nucleotides in length. Their secondary structure includes four short double-helical elements and three loops (D, anti-codon, and T loops). Further hydrogen bonds mediate the characteristic L-shaped molecular structure. tRNAs have two regions of fundamental functional importance: the anti-codon, which is responsible for specific mRNA codon recognition, and the 3' end, to which the tRNAs corresponding amino acid is attached (by aminoacyl-tRNA synthetases). tRNAs cope with the degeneracy of the genetic code in two manners: having more than one tRNA (with a specific anti-codon) for a particular amino acid; and 'wobble' base-pairing, i.e. permitting non-standard base-pairing at the 3rd anti-codon position.
Source: Rfam by way of RNAcentral